GACGAACGCUGGCGGCGUGCUUAACACAUGCAAGUCACGGGGGCCCGCAAGGGUAACCGGCGAACGGGUGCGUAACACGUGAACAACCUGCCCUCGUGUGGGGGAUAGCCAUGCUAACGCGUGGGUAAUACCGCAUACGUUCUUUUCGGGGAGUCCCGAGGGGAAGAAAGCUCCGGCGCACGGGGAGGGGUUCGCGGCCUAUCAGCUAGUUGGGGGGUAAGU
RNAcentral lists this ribosomal RNA (222 nucleotides) under uncultured bacterium. Its description in RNAcentral is "partial 16S ribosomal RNA". It matches the Rfam family "Bacterial small subunit ribosomal RNA", at positions 28 to 261 of the family's 1533-position model. The record is from RNAcentral.